This 601-nucleotide ribosomal RNA is filed under the name uncultured Basidiomycota. RNAcentral describes it as "LSU rRNA". It matches the Rfam family "Eukaryotic large subunit ribosomal RNA", at positions 629 to 1235 of the family's 3401-position model. Lineage: Eukaryota; Fungi; Basidiomycota. The record is from RNAcentral.
UUUUAAUGGCUUCAAUCGACCCGUCUAGAAACACGGACCAAGGAGUCUAACAUGCCUGCGAGUGUUUGGGUGAAAACCCUUGCGCACAAUGAAAGUGAAAGUUGAGAUCCCUGUCAUGGGGAGCAUUGACGCCCGGACCUGAGCUUUUAGCAAUGGAUCCGCGGUAGAGCAUGCAUGUUGGGACCCGAAAGAUGGUGAACUAUGCCUGAAUAGGGCAAAGCCAGAGGAAACUCUGGUGGAGGCUCGUAGCGACUCUGACGUGCAAAUCGAUCGUCAAAUUUGGGUAUAGGGGCGAAAGACUAAUCGAACCAUCUAGUAGCUGGUUCCUGCCGAAGUUUCCCUCAGGAUAGCAGAAGCUCAUUAUCAGAUUUAUGUGGUAAAGCGAAUGAUUAGAGGCCUUGGGGUUGAAACAACCUUAACCUAUUCUCAAACUUUAAAUAUGUAAGAACGAGCUGUCACUUGAUUGGACUGCUCGGUGAUUGAGAGCUUCUAGUGGGCCAUUUUUGGUAAGCAGAACUGGUGAUGCGGGAUGAACCGAUCGCAAGGUUAAGGUGCCAGAGUUCACGCUCAUCAGACACCACAAAAGGUGUUGGUUCAUCAG